GACGAACGCUGGCGGCGUGCCUAAUACAUGCAAGUUGAGCGCUGAAGGUUGGUACUUGUACCGACUGGAUGAGCAGCGAACGGGUGAGUAACGCGUGGGGAAUCUGCCUUUGAGCGGGGGACAACAUUUGGAAACGAAUGCUAAUACCGCAUAAAAACUUUAAACACAAGUUUUAAGUUUGAAAGAUGCAAUUGCAUCACUCAAAGAUGAUCCCGCGUUGUAUUAGCUAGUUGGUGAGGUAAAGGCUCACCAAGGCGAUGAUACAUAGCCGACCUGAGAGGGUGAUCGGCCACAUUGGGACUGAGACACGGCCCAAACUCCUACGGGAGGCAGCAGUAGUGAAUCUUCGGCAAUGGACGAAAGUCUGACCGAGCAACGCCGCGUGAGUGAAGAAGGUUUUCGGAUCGUAAAACUCUGUUGGUAGAGAAGAACGUUGGUGAGAGUGGAAAGCUCAUCAAGUGACGGUAACUACCCAGAAAGGGACGGCUAACUACGUG
This 497-nucleotide ribosomal RNA is filed under the name uncultured bacterium. RNAcentral describes it as "partial 16S ribosomal RNA". It matches the Rfam family "Bacterial small subunit ribosomal RNA", at positions 28 to 507 of the family's 1533-position model. The record is from RNAcentral.